UACGUAGGGUGCAAGCGUUAAUCGGAAUUACUGGGCGUAAAGCGUGCGCAGGCGGCUUUGCAAGUCAGAUGUGAAAUCCCCGGGCUUAACCUGGGAACUGCAUUUGUGACUGCAAGGCUAGAGUACGGUAGAGGGGGAUGGAAUUCCGCGUGUAGCAGUGAAAUGCGUAGAUAUGCGGAGGAACACCGAUGGCGAAGGCAAUCCUCUGGACCUGUACUGACGCUCAUGCACGAAAGCGUGGGGAGCAAACAGG
This 253-nucleotide ribosomal RNA is filed under the name uncultured bacterium. Its description in RNAcentral is "partial 16S ribosomal RNA". It matches the Rfam family "Bacterial small subunit ribosomal RNA", at positions 524 to 776 of the family's 1533-position model. The record is from RNAcentral.